Molecule: long non-coding RNA, 1876 nt
Organism: Acanthochromis polyacanthus (spiny chromis)
Lineage: Eukaryota; Metazoa; Chordata; Actinopteri; Pomacentridae
Exons: 3
Source: RefSeq, a predicted model, not a curated record
AUAUGCAACGUUUUCUUUUUGCAUUUGUUUUCAUUUAUGCAGCGCGUCUGUAUAUGCAAUGUUUUCUUGUUGCAGCACGUUUCUGUUUAUGCAACGCAUUCAUGUAUUUGCAGCUCGUUUGUGUAUAUUGUACAUUUGCCCCUGUCAGCCACCGUAGUAAAUGCAUGUUUUGUGUUUUUCGUCAGUAUAGCUGUUGCAAACUCAUGUAGGAGUAAUUAAUGAUGCAGUUAUUGGAUAUAGGUCACUUUUAUACAUCAAGUCAGUAUUAGGCAAAAAGACCUGCAGUGUAAAUGAGGCCUAGAAAUGUAUGUAGAAAUUAAGUUUUUUUCACAUUUUAACUGUAAGCAAAGAUAAAUUAAUUUGAAAUAAAGUUCAUGUACUAUAAUUCAAACACAUAACACAAUUUUAUAUCUUUUUCAGAUGCACCAUUCAAUUUUUAAGUCAGUCAGAAAGCCUGCAGUAGAACCAAGGGCGUCAGUUUGUUUUUAAAAGUGGGGGGGACGGAGACCACAGCACUUUGAGAAAAUGUCAAAGAACGGCGGCAAAAUGCCACGAGCUGGACUCGAACUCACAACCACCGUACCAAAGGCAGAAGCUCAAGCUGUUGAGCUAUUGGCACAUGCAGUUAGAAGGGUCUGUGGGCCGCUAUAGUACUAAUUCUCCCGGGCUGAAAUUUUGCCCCUGCACGCCUCUGGUCGGAGCUUCCACUUGGCACAGGCGCAAAUUUAGCAUCUGCGCGUUUUUUUUUUUUUUUUUUCUAACCUCACGAAGGUGUGCUGCGUGUCUGUGCAACUCUCGGCCGAGUGCGGAUGGUGCGUUCAGGAGCGUCGGAAUUUCCUAUACUACUGAAAAUAACUGGGUUUACAACAGCUUACAUGUGAAGAAUUUGAAUAUGUUGGAGACAAAAUGACCCCUGACAAAAAGUGGGGGGGACACGUCCCCACCGUCCCCCCCUAAACUGACGCCUAUGAGUAGAACGCUGCACAACAUGCUGCAGUUUGUUUCACUGCCCCCUUUGCCCCAAAGGCAUGUUUAAACCAAGCAUCCCGUCGAAGCUUCAGCGAGAUUUGGAGGUCCACCUAAAAAUGCCAUUAGGUAAUGUCAUUGCAUUUUAGAUUAAAGUUAUACGCACAUGCACACAAUUGUGUCAUGUGACUUGUUUGUCAUUGUCUAAUCUAAACAUUUUCUUGACUUGCUUUUAGAUAAGAAGAUCUGGACAGAUACAUCAAAAGCCCUCCUGCAAGGUGAGGUGUUACCAGUGUUUAGGCUGAAGAAAAGAAGGGUGGAUGACAUUACUAUGGAAGAAGAGCAGCAAGCUGAGGUUUCAGUCAGACCUGCUGAUGUGAGCACACCAGUGGAAGGGGACUCGGUUGAAGUGCGUAUUCUGCAUGAUUGCAGACAUGCAGCAGAGUGGGUUGAGGCCAAUAAGACACUCUUCUCUGCCAGAGUGGACCUGCCUGAAGUUCUAUACAUGGGGGAGGAGGAACAGGCUGAGGCUGCUCUGCAGUAUAAAAGACAUGGAUGAGCAGGAAAGGGAAGAAAUCCUGGAGAUCUUCAAAUUCACAUUCUACAACAUUGAGGACAUGUGGAAAUUUUGUGACAUAGUAGUGGACGAAAACAAUUAUUUGGCAUAUUGUGAAUGUCACAAAGAUGAAUAAUUGAAGGAUAACAGAACAUUUGAUCAUGUUGUGACUUUGUGUGUUCAUGUUUUGUUUUCUCAUUGAGCACUUAAUAAUUCACUUGAACUACACUGUAGAUCUCAAGAGUUUGGGUAGUAGUUGGUGGUAUUUAGGUGCUCCAGCAGCACAAGAACAUAAUGAGACGUAGCAAUCAUUAAUGAGAAGUGUUUUGAAAAAGACAAAUGCUAAUGCUUCAC